GACGAACGCUGGCGGCGUGCUUAACACAUGCAAGUCGAACGGAAAGGCCCCUUCGGGGGUCCUCGAGUGGCGAACAGGUGAGUAACACGUGAGUAACCUGCCCUUGACUUCGGGAUAACUUCAGGAAACUGGGGCUAAUACCGGAUAGGAAUCCUUGCUGCAUGGUGGGGGUUGGAAAGCUUCGGCGGUUUUGGAUGGACUCGCGGCUUAUCAGCUUGUUGGUGGGGUAGUGGCUUACCAAGGCUUUGACGGGUAGCCGGCCUGAGAGGGCGACCGGCCACAGUGGGACUGAGAUACGGCCCAGACUCCUACGGGAGGCAGCAGUGGGGAAUAUUGCACAAUGGGCGGAAGCCUGAUGCAGCAACGCCGCGUGCGGGAUGACGGCCUUCGGGUUGUAAACCGCUUUCAGCAGGGGCGAAGCUUGUGGUGACGGUACCUGCAGAAGAAGCACCGGCUAACUACGUG
This 465-nucleotide ribosomal RNA is filed under the name uncultured bacterium. RNAcentral's name for it is "partial 16S ribosomal RNA". It matches the Rfam family "Bacterial small subunit ribosomal RNA", at positions 28 to 507 of the family's 1533-position model. The record is from RNAcentral.